CCUUCGAUAGCUCAGUUGGUAGAGCGGUGGACAGUAGAAGUUGUGAUGGUUAUCCAUAGGUCGCUGGUUCGAAUCCGGCUCGAAGGA
Ciona savignyi (Pacific transparent sea squirt) is the source of this 87-nucleotide non-coding RNA. NCBI's taxonomy places the organism in Eukaryota, Metazoa, Chordata, Ascidiacea, Phlebobranchia, Cionidae. The record is from Rfam.